RNAcentral lists this unclassified non-coding RNA (359 nucleotides) under uncultured fungus. RNAcentral describes it as "partial contains small subunit ribosomal RNA, internal transcribed spacer 1, and 5.8S ribosomal RNA". The stretch from base 1 to 73 matches the Rfam family "Eukaryotic small subunit ribosomal RNA", at positions 1759 to 1831 of the family's 1831-position model. Lineage: Eukaryota; Fungi. The record is from RNAcentral.
GCAAACUUGGUCAUUUAGAGGAAGUAAAAGUCGUAACAAGGUUUCCGUAGGUGAACCUGCGGAAGGAUCAUUAAAAGUUCGGUGGCGUAAGCCUCCAGAUGCUUUCACACCUCUUUGUGGUUACUGGAGAUUCCGAUCUCCAGUAGUUGCUAAUGUGUACAACCCUUUGUGAACCUUUAUACCUAUGCUUCGGCAGCACUCUGUGGAAGCAAUUCCGUGGAGGUAAGGCUGUCAGAAGCCCCUUUAUAACUAGUUGAUUAAAAUCAUGUGGUCUGAAAAUCAGUGAUUUGAGAAAUCAAAAUCAUAUUAAAACUUUCAGCAACGGAUCUCUUGGUUCUCGCAUCGAUGAAGAACGCAGC